RNAcentral lists this transfer RNA (75 nucleotides) under Caulobacter sp. RNAcentral describes it as "tRNA-Val". It matches the Rfam family "tRNA". Rfam says of the family: Transfer RNA (tRNA) molecules are approximately 80 nucleotides in length. Their secondary structure includes four short double-helical elements and three loops (D, anti-codon, and T loops). RNAcentral also lists the same sequence under 18 other names. Lineage: Bacteria; Pseudomonadati; Pseudomonadota; Alphaproteobacteria; Caulobacterales; Caulobacteraceae. The record is from RNAcentral.
GGACGCGUAGCUCAGCGGGAGAGCACUACGUUGACAUCGUAGGGGUCGCUGGUUCAAUCCCAGCCGCGUCCACCA